This 96-nucleotide small RNA is filed under the name Pedobacter terrae. RNAcentral's name for it is "Flavo-1 RNA". It matches the Rfam family "Flavo-1 RNA". The record is from RNAcentral. Lineage: Bacteria; Pseudomonadati; Bacteroidota; Sphingobacteriia; Sphingobacteriales; Sphingobacteriaceae.
AACUAAACCUGAUAGAAACGGAAAUACUUUUUUAGCUGUAGCUUUAAUUAGCUGACAAAGUGCUUAAAAAGAUUGAAGUGGAUAGCAGGACUGACA